Molecule: transfer-messenger RNA, 370 nt
Filed under: Planctomycetia bacterium
Lineage: Bacteria; Pseudomonadati; Planctomycetota; Planctomycetia
Rfam family: transfer-messenger RNA
About the family: Bacterial tmRNA, also known as 10Sa RNA or SsrA, is named for its dual tRNA and mRNA-like properties. Its role is to liberate the mRNA from a stalled ribosome. To accomplish this part of the tmRNA is used as a reading frame that ends in a translation stop signal.
Source: RNAcentral
GGGGGCGACAUGGAUUCGACCGGGCAAUUGAAGUGCGGGUGGCGUGUCGCGGUUUGUCAGCACCGCGUUAAAAGCCGACAAAAAAAUAAAUGCCAAUAAUGUGAAUAACAAUAACUUGGUAAUGGCUGCCUAAGAAAAGGCGCCCGAGUCGAGUUGCCAUGACACACGGCGACAAAGGCUGCGUAUUCAAUGUGGGUCUCGUUCCGAUUCACUGGAGGUACGGUCGGGAUUAAAUUUGUUCCUAUCUGGCUCUCGAAUUACCCUGUCGAUUGGGGAAGGAGAGAGCGAGAACUCAAAAAAUCGACUACACACGUAGAAGCUCUCAUGGACAUGUCGCGGGACGCGGGUUCGAUACCCGCCGCCUCCAUUU